RNAcentral lists this small RNA (2893 nucleotides) under Pongo abelii (Sumatran orangutan). RNAcentral's name for it is "retained intron". The record is from RNAcentral. Lineage: Eukaryota; Metazoa; Chordata; Mammalia; Primates; Hominidae.
CUCUUUGGGGGGUAAGACAGGAAGGGGAGAUGGGCCUCAAGUUGUUACCUUAAAAGGGCCGAUGGAAGCAAAGAGAAGAGGAAGUGGUUGUCGGGGUGAGAGCUGGGCCCGCGCCCCGCACGGCUGUCAAACAGGAAGCCCUGCUGAAGCAGCUGUCCCCGGAAGAAGCCAUUUCCAAACCUCUGCUCCUGCCUGGGGCCAGUUAAGACAGGCUCCCUGGCCCCUCUCCUUUUGGGAGGACCCACCCCUGCAGCCCCACCACUCACACUUGCUCUCUGGGGAGCCGCCCCCACCCCCACCCCCAGCCCCCAUACACCUGUCCUGGCUCCAGGGCCAGUUGUGCCCAUGGAAGCCUCACUUGGGGAAGCUGGGGUGGGGGUGCCAACUCUAAGGGCAGAGACAGACUGAGACAGAGACCGGCAGGAACUCCACCAGGGUCUUGCACAGCCCCCAACCUCUGCCAUGCGUGGCCAGCCCUCCUGGGGUUUGCCCAGGCCAUUUUGGGGCUGGAACAAGAGAAGAACAACCCGACCCCUGCCCCUACCCUAGGCCCUGGUCCAGCUCCCAGGGACACCACAGCUUUCUUCUCUGGGCCUCUCUGAAGGAGGUGUGGGGAGGUUGGAUUGGGUUUGGGGGGAAAAGCACCUACAUCCAAGGCCCUGCUGUGCCUUUAGACUGGACGUGUAGACAAGAAUGCGCCCACGGUCUGUGGCCACACAGCCCCUGUGCUAGACAUCGCCUGGUGCCCGCACAAUGACAACGUCAUUGCCAGUGGCUCCGAGGACUGCACAGUCAUGGUGUGGGAGAUCCCGGAUGGGGGCCUGAUGUUGCCCCUGCGGGAGCCUGUCGUCACCCUGGAGGGCCACACCAAGCGUGUAGGCAUUGUGGCCUGGCACCCCACAGCCCAGAACGUGCUGCUCAGUGCAGGUGCUGCGGGAGGAGGGGCCUGGGGGUGGCUGGUGGCCUGCACUGGAUAAGAGCAGGAGGCUCAUGGCUUCUGACACUGUGGGGAACGUGCAGGUUGUGACAACGUGAUCAUGGUGUGGGACGUGGGCACUGGGGCGGCCAUGCUGACGCUGGGCCCAGAGGUGCACCCAGACACGAUCUACAGUGUGGACUGGAGCCGAGACGGAGGCCUCAUUUGUACCUCCUGCCGUGACAAGCGCGUGCGCAUCAUCGAGCCCCGCAAAGGCACUGUUGUAGCUGAGAAGGAUCGUCCCCACGAGGGGACCCGGCCCGUGCGUGCAGUGUUCGUGUCGGAGGGGAAGAUCCUGACCACGGGCUUCAGCCGCAUGAGUGAGCGGCAGGUGGCGCUGUGGGACACAGUGAGUGCUGGGGCAGGAAGCUGAGGGCCCCCAGGCUGGGAACCAAGACUGGAGGUUUCCUCCCUGCUCUGCCACUCACCUGGCAGGAUGGCCACGGGCCUCAGUUUACCCAGGCGUGAGAUGGGUGUUCCCACUGGUUGGUUGGGAGGGCCCUCACAGGUCACUGCCCAGGGAAGACCACCAUCCCAGGGCCUGGGAUGUUACCUCUCACCUGUGUCUACAGAAGCACCUGGAGGAGCCGCUGUCCCUGCAGGAGCUGGACACCAGCAGCGGUGUCCUGCUGCCCUUCUUUGACCCUGACACCAACAUCGUCUACCUCUGUGGCAAGGUGGCCUCGUCAGGCAGGGUGGGGGUGGGAGGUGGGCAGGAUGGGCCUGGAGAGGGCCAGGGCAGCGGGCAUCUGCUGGUAUUGACCCUCCCUCUGCACCUGCCACCUACAGGGUGACAGCUCUAUCCGGUACUUUGAGAUCACUUCCGAGGCCCCGUUCCUGCACUAUCUCUCCAUGUUCAGUUCCAAGGAGUCCCAGCGGGGCAUGGGCUACAUGCCCAAACGUGGGCUGGAGGUGAACAAGUGUGAGAUCGCCAGGUGACUGACCCCCGGCCCUGACCGCAGCAUGCCCCUUAGGCAGUUCCAAGCCUGCCCAACCAGACUGUGGGCCCCGCUCACCUUCCCCUUCCCACAGGUUCUACAAGCUGCACGAGCGGAGGUGUGAGCCCAUUGCCAUGACAGUGCCUCGAAAGGUGAUGCUCCCCCGCCCCACCCUGGGCUCCAGGCUGGGCACUGACUUUGCAGUCUUGCAGGGGGAUGUCCUGGCAUAAGUGCUUUCCUCACUAUCCUUGGCCUUGCCUACAGUCGGACCUGUUCCAGGAGGACCUGUACCCACCCACCGCAGGGCCUGACCCUGCCCUCACGGCUGAGGAGUGGCUGGGGGGUCGGGAUGCUGGGCCCCUCCUCAUCUCCCUCAAGGAUGGCUACGUACCCCCAAAGAGCCGGGAGCUGAGGGUCAACCGGGGCCUGGACACUGGGCGCAGGAGGGCAGCACCAGAGGCCAGUGGCACUCCCAGCUCGGUGAGAGGGCCAGGAAGCCAAGGAAUAAAACUGGGAGGGUGGGGUGGGGCUGGCAUUUGGGGCAGCUCAAACUCACAACAUUGGGAAUCUUUGCGGGGCUGGGAGUGGUAAUCCUGAGGCCUCAGAACACAGGUUUCAGACUGGUAGGCCUGCAGGUCUCCAGGCAGCAACCAGCUGAGCAACUAAAGGGCCCAAGGCCAGGGCUCUAGGGAUGGGGCUCAGCAGAUGCUGGGGCAAGGGGAGCCAGGGAGGAGCUGGGCCUAAUGCAGCACCGCGUCCCCAGGAUGCCAUGUCCCGGCUGGAGGAGGAGAUGCGGAAGCUCCAGGCCACGGUGCAGGAGCUCCAGAAGCGCUUGGACAGGCUGGAGGAGACAGUCCAGGCCAAGUAGAGCCCCACAGGGACUUCAGCAGGGUCAGCCAUUCACACCCAUCCACUCACUUCCCAUUCCCAGCCACAUGGCAGAGAAAAAAAUCAUAAUAAAAUGGCUUUAUUUUCUGGU